GAUGAACGCUGGCGGCGUGCCUAAUACAUGCAAGUCGAGCGAACAGACGCGGAUCUUGCUCCGUUGACGUUAGCGGCGGACGGGUGAGUAACACGUGGGUAACCUACCUAUAAGACUGGGAUAACUUCGGGAAAGCGGAGCUAAGACCGGAUAAUAUUUCGAACCGGAUGGUUGGAUAGUGAAGGAUGGGUUUGGUAUCACUUAUCGACGGACCUGCGCCGUAUUAGCUAGUUGGUAUGGUAAGGGCUUACCAAGGCAACGAUACGUAACCGACCUGAGAGGGUGAUCGGCCACACUGGAACUGAGACACGGUCCAGACUCCUACGCGAGGCAGCAGUAGGGAAUCGGCCGCAAUGGGCGAAAGCCUGACGGAGCAACGCCGCGUGAGUGAUGAAGGUCUUCGGAUCGUAAAACUCUGUUAGUAGGGAAGAACAAACGUGUAAGUAACUGUGCACGUCUUGACGGUACCUAAUCAGAAAGCCACGGCUAACUACGUG
Molecule: ribosomal RNA, 497 nt
Filed under: uncultured bacterium
Lineage: Bacteria
Description: partial 16S ribosomal RNA
Rfam family: Bacterial small subunit ribosomal RNA
Source: RNAcentral